UUUGUUCCAUGGUGAAAUAAUUCACAAAGAAUCAUGAUUUAAUUCUAGGCACAGAGGAGUUCUUCUAUGGCUAAAUCACUUCAUGAUUUAUUUAUGAAAAUUUGAUAAAGUUUGAAAAACUAAACAAAUCAAUCCAUGCGCCACCUAGAGUCCAAUCUGUUAAGGACUCUUAAAAUUGACUCACGCCACCUUUAAUCUUGAAUUUUUCUCCAAGCCAUCUUUUGAUUGGCACUUCAAUUGUGAUCCCUUGGAUGGCCAAAAUACACUGAUCAAUGGUGGAGAAAAAUGCUGCCCAAUGAAGAGACUUUCUGCACAAAGCAACUCCCAGAUUUCUUUCUUGAUGUUUGUCAUGUGUCAUGUGCUUCUAGAUGGAUGUGGAAAUUUGACUUGGGGCAUGAGAAAAUCUGGAUGGGUGUGAGAUGUCGUGUGGAGAUGGCGCGAGUCAAAUCUGAACGCAUCCCGUCGCUAACUAUAAAAGGGGUCCUACGUCGGGGUUUUAUUCAUUCAGAUUUCUAAUUCUAUCUCUUCUUUCUUACAUCCUUCUCCCUAUUGUUUAAUUAGUCUCUUCCUUUUCUUAUUAGGAUAAGUCCUAAAAUAGUAAAGACAAAUCUCAUUUUAAGACAAGGAUCUAGGAAGAGAUGUAAGGAAGACAAGAAGACAAGAAAGGUAGAGAUAGGAAGGCUAGGAGGAG
RNAcentral lists this long non-coding RNA (691 nucleotides) under Elaeis guineensis (African oil palm). Its description in RNAcentral is "long non-coding RNA (EGUI_LNC040484)". The record is from RNAcentral. Lineage: Eukaryota; Viridiplantae; Streptophyta; Magnoliopsida; Arecales; Arecaceae.